This 256-nucleotide ribosomal RNA is filed under the name uncultured bacterium. RNAcentral's name for it is "partial 16S ribosomal RNA". It matches the Rfam family "Bacterial small subunit ribosomal RNA", at positions 524 to 776 of the family's 1533-position model. The record is from RNAcentral.
UACGUAGGGUGCGAGCGUUGUCCGGAAUUAUUGGGCGUAAAGAGCUCGUAGGCGGUGUGUCACGUCGGCCGUGAAAACCUGCAGCUUAACUGUGGGCGUGCGGUCGAUACGGGCAUCACUGGAGUUCGGCAGGGGAGACUGGAAUUCCUGGUGUAGCGGUGAAAUGCGCAGAUAUCAGGAGGAACACCGGUGGCGAAGGCGGGUCUCUGGGCCGAUACUGACGCUGGAGGAAGCGAAAGCGUGGGGAGCAAACAGG